UGGGGGAUAUUGCACAAUGGGCGAAAGCCUGAUGCAGCGACGCCGCGUGGGGGAUGAAGGCCUUCGGGUUGUAAACUUCUUUUGCUCUGAACAAGGCGCACCAUGGGGUGUGUUGAGUGUAGGGGUUGAUUAGCGCCGGCUAACUACGUGCCAGCAGCCGCGGUAAUACGUAGGGCGCGAGCGUUGUCCGGAAUUAUUGGGCGUAAAGGGCUUGUAGGUGGCUGGUUGCGUCUGUCGUGAAAGCUCAUGGCUUAACUGUGGGUUUGCGGUGGGGACGGGCUAGUUUGAGUGGAGUAGGGGAGGCUGGAAUUCCCGGUGUAGCGGUGGAAUGCGCAGAUAUCAGGAAGAAUACCGGUGGCGAAGGAGGGUCUCUGGGCUGUUACUGACACUGAGGAGCGAAAGCAUGGGGAGCGAACAGG
This 419-nucleotide ribosomal RNA is filed under the name bacterium. RNAcentral's name for it is "partial 16S ribosomal RNA". It matches the Rfam family "Bacterial small subunit ribosomal RNA", at positions 355 to 776 of the family's 1533-position model. The record is from RNAcentral.